ACAAGUUCGAUGGUGCCUUAGGAGAGAAAAGAACAAUACUUAGUAGAUACCAAUACUCUCUGGAAAGAAAUGGUCAAGAACUUGGAAACUGAUGAAGCAAAACAAAGGAGUAAGACAUAUUAGAUUGCUCGUAUAUCACAUCCAUGUGCCAAGGCCAAAGUCCUAUCAGCAAAUCCAAGAUAAAAUGGAAGAGUAGAUGGGAAGACUAGUGAGUCUUGGUGAGAUUUUCAUCAAGACACACACAAAGCUAGAUGGUACAUAUGUCGAUUGAAAGGCGGAGAAAAUCAGUCAAACUUAUGAGAAGACCUUGUAAGAGAAGCUAACUGAGCUCGAGGGAAGAGACUUCAUCUCUUUCAGACGCGGGUACUAGACCUCGAGAGCUCACUGCCGAGGACUGUACUGCCAUAUUUCUUCAGGUCUUGUUGGUACCGGGCUUCAGCAGGCCAUGGGCCCGACGAUUCGGCCCGUAAGCUUGGUAGAAGGCAUGUGGUAGCUGGGCCUCGCUUGAACGUCGAGCUGUUGAGAAGAAGGAGGAACGGAUUUGCGUUGCCUGUUGAAGAAAUCACGGAGGAGAGAAGAUUCUGGGCAACGACGACGGCGCCUUAGGAGGAACAACGUCGAGUAUAUAAAGGGUUGAAGCGUUGUUGUAUAGGGGGAGAUCUAAAAGAGAGAACAAGAGUAUUCAUUGUAAUCACAAUAUAUAAAAUUCAGUUCGUUAUUCAA
Capsella rubella is the source of this 723-nucleotide long non-coding RNA. RefSeq lists it as uncharacterized. The transcript is spliced from 3 exons. NCBI's taxonomy places the organism in Eukaryota, Viridiplantae, Streptophyta, Magnoliopsida, Brassicales, Brassicaceae. The record is from RefSeq and is a predicted model, not a curated record.